RNAcentral lists this ribosomal RNA (2930 nucleotides) under Escherichia coli. Its description in RNAcentral is "23S ribosomal RNA". It matches the Rfam family "Bacterial large subunit ribosomal RNA". Lineage: Bacteria; Pseudomonadati; Pseudomonadota; Gammaproteobacteria; Enterobacterales; Enterobacteriaceae. The record is from RNAcentral.
GGGUUGUGAGGUUAAGCGACUAAGCGUACACGGUGGAUGCCCUGGCAGUCAGAGGCGAUGAAGGACGUGCUAAUCUGCGAUAAGCGUCGGUAAGGUGAUAUGAACCGUUAUAACCGGCGAUUUCCGAAUGGGGAAACCCAGUGUGAUUCGUCACACUAUCAUUAACUGAAUCCAUAGGUUAAUGAGGCGAACCGGGGGAACUGAAACAUCUAAGUACCCCGAGGAAAAGAAAUCAACCGAGAUUCCCCCAGUAGCGGCGAGCGAACGGGGAGCAGCCCAGAGCCUGAAUCAGUGUGUGUGUUAGUGGAAGCGUCUGGAAAGGCGCGCGAUACAGGGUGACAGCCCCGUACACAAAAAUGCACAUGCUGUGAGCUCGAUGAGUAGGGCGGGACACGUGGUAUCCUGUCUGAAUAUGGGGGGACCAUCCUCCAAGGCUAAAUACUCCUGACUGACCGAUAGUGAACCAGUACCGUGAGGGAAAGGCGAAAAGAACCCCGGCGAGGGGAGUGAAAAAGAACCUGAAACCGUGUACGUACAAGCAGUGGGAGCACGCUUAGGCGUGUGACUGCGUACCUUUUGUAUAAUGGGUCAGCGACUUAUAUUCUGUAGCAAGGUUAACCGAAUAGGGGAGCCGAAGGGAAACCGAGUCUUAACUGGGCGUUAAGUUGCAGGGUAUAGACCCGAAACCCGGUGAUCUAGCCAUGGGCAGGUUGAAGGUUGGGUAACACUAACUGGAGGACCGAACCGACUAAUGUUGAAAAAUUAGCGGAUGACUUGUGGCUGGGGGUGAAAGGCCAAUCAAACCGGGAGAUAGCUGGUUCUCCCCGAAAGCUAUUUAGGUAGCGCCUCGUGAACUCAUCUCCGGGGGUAGAGCACUGUUUCGGCAAGGGGGUCAUCCCGACUUACCAACCCGAUGCAAACUGCGAAUACCGGAGAAUGUUAUCACGGGAGACACACGGCGGGUGCUAACGUCCGUCGUGAAGAGGGAAACAACCCAGACCGCCAGCUAAGGUCCCAAAGUCAUGGUUAAGUGGGAAACGAUGUGGGAAGGCCCAGACAGCCAGGAUGUUGGCUUAGAAGCAGCCAUCAUUUAAAGAAAGCGUAAUAGCUCACUGGUCGAGUCGGCCUGCGCGGAAGAUGUAACGGGGCUAAACCAUGCACCGAAGCUGCGGCAGCGACGCUUAUGCGUUGUUGGGUAGGGGAGCGUUCUGUAAGCCUGUGAAGGUGUGCUGUGAGGCAUGCUGGAGGUAUCAGAAGUGCGAAUGCUGACAUAAGUAACGAUAAAGCGGGUGAAAAGCCCGCUCGCCGGAAGACCAAGGGUUCCUGUCCAACGUUAAUCGGGGCAGGGUGAGUCGACCCCUAAGGCGAGGCCGAAAGGCGUAGUCGAUGGGAAACAGGUUAAUAUUCCUGUACUUGGUGUUACUGCGAAGGGGGGACGGAGAAGGCUAUGUUGGCCGGGCGACGGUUGUCCCGGUUUAAGCGUGUAGGCUGGUUUUCCAGGCAAAUCCGGAAAAUCAAGGCUGAGGCGUGAUGACGAGGCACUACGGUGCUGAAGCAACAAAUGCCCUGCUUCCAGGAAAAGCCUCUAAGCAUCAGGUAACAUCAAAUCGUACCCCAAACCGACACAGGUGGUCAGGUAGAGAAUACCAAGGCGCUUGAGAGAACUCGGGUGAAGGAACUAGGCAAAAUGGUGCCGUAACUUCGGGAGAAGGCACGCUGAUAUGUAGGUGAAGCGACUUGCUCGUGGAGCUGAAAUCAGUCGAAGAUACCAGCUGGCUGCAACUGUUUAUUAAAAACACAGCACUGUGCAAACACGAAAGUGGACGUAUACGGUGUGACGCCUGCCCGGUGCCGGAAGGUUAAUUGAUGGGGUUAGCGCAAGCGAAGCUCUUGAUCGAAGCCCCGGUAAACGGCGGCCGUAACUAUAACGGUCCUAAGGUAGCGAAAUUCCUUGUCGGGUAAGUUCCGACCUGCACGAAUGGCGUAAUGAUGGCCAGGCUGUCUCCACCCGAGACUCAGUGAAAUUGAACUCGCUGUGAAGAUGCAGUGUACCCGCGGCAAGACGGAAAGACCCCGUGAACCUUUACUAUAGCUUGACACUGAACAUUGAGCCUUGAUGUGUAGGAUAGGUGGGAGGCUUUGAAGUGUGGACGCCAGUCUGCAUGGAGCCGACCUUGAAAUACCACCCUUUAAUGUUUGAUGUUCUAACGUUGACCCGUAAUCCGGGUUGCGGACAGUGUCUGGUGGGUAGUUUGACUGGGGCGGUCUCCUCCUAAAGAGUAACGGAGGAGCACGAAGGUUGGCUAAUCCUGGUCGGACAUCAGGAGGUUAGUGCAAUGGCAUAAGCCAGCUUGACUGCGAGCGUGACGGCGCGAGCAGGUGCGAAAGCAGGUCAUAGUGAUCCGGUGGUUCUGAAUGGAAGGGCCAUCGCUCAACGGAUAAAAGGUACUCCGGGGAUAACAGGCUGAUACCGCCCAAGAGUUCAUAUCGACGGCGGUGUUUGGCACCUCGAUGUCGGCUCAUCACAUCCUGGGGCUGAAGUAGGUCCCAAGGGUAUGGCUGUUCGCCAUUUAAAGUGGUACGCGAGCUGGGUUUAGAACGUCGUGAGACAGUUCGGUCCCUAUCUGCCGUGGGCGCUGGAGAACUGAGGGGGGCUGCUCCUAGUACGAGAGGACCGGAGUGGACGCAUCACUGGUGUUCGGGUUGUCAUGCCAAUGGCACUGCCCGGUAGCUAAAUGCGGAAGAGAUAAGUGCUGAAAGCAUCUAAGCACGAAACUUGCCCCGAGAUGAGUUCUCCCUGACCCUUUAAGGGUCCUGAAGGAACGUUGAAGACGACGACGUUGAUAGGCCGGGUGUGUAAGCGCAGCGAUGCGUUGAGCUAACCGGUACUAAUGAACCGUGAGGCUUAACCUUACAACGCCGAAGCUGUU